AACGAACGCUGGCGGCAUGCCUAACACAUGCAAGUCGAACGAUCCCUUCGGGGAUAGUGGCGCACGGGUGCGUAACGCGUGGGAACCUGCCCUUAGGUUCGGAAUAACUCAGAGAAAUUUGAGCUAAUACCGGAUAAUGUCUUCGGACCAAAGAUUUAUCGCCUUUGGAUGGGCCCGCGUUGGAUUAGCUAGUUGGUGGGGUAAAGGCCUACCAAGGCGACGAUCCAUAGCUGGUCUGAGAGGAUGAUCAGCCACACUGGGACUGAGACACGGCCCAGACUCCUACAGGAGGCAGCAGUGGGGAAUAUUGGACAAUGGGCGAAAGCCUGAUCCAGCAAUGCCGCGUGAGUGAUGAAGGCCUUAGGGUUGUAAAGCUCUUUUACCCGGGAUGAUAAUGACAGUACCGGGAGAAUGAGCCCCGGCUAACUCCGUG
This 433-nucleotide ribosomal RNA is filed under the name uncultured bacterium. Its description in RNAcentral is "partial 16S ribosomal RNA". It matches the Rfam family "Bacterial small subunit ribosomal RNA", at positions 29 to 507 of the family's 1533-position model. The record is from RNAcentral.